AAAUGAAUAGACGGGGGCCCGCACAAGCAGUGGAGUAUGUGGUUUAAUUCGACGCAACGCGAAGAACCUUACCAGGGCUUGACAUCCUCUGACCAUUGCAGAGAUGCAGAAUUUCCUUCGGGAACAGAGAGACAGGUGGUGCAUGGUUGUCGUCAGCUCGUGUCGUGAGAUGUUGGGUUAAGUCCCGCAACGAGCGCAACCCCUGUCGUCAGUUGCCAACAGGUGAAGCUGGGAACUUUGACGAGACCGCCGUUGACAAAACGGAGGAAGGUGGGGACGACGUCAAAUCAUCAUGCCCCUUAUGUCCUGGGCUACACACGUACUACAAUGGCAACAACAACGGGCAGCCAAGCCGCGAGGCCGAGCGAAUCCCUUAAAAGUUGUCUCAGUUCGGAUUGCAGGCUGCAACUCGCCUGCAUGAAGUCGGAAUUGCUAGUAAUGGCAGGUCAGCAUACUGCCGUGAAUACGUUCCCGGGCCUUGUACACACCGCCCGU
Molecule: ribosomal RNA, 495 nt
Filed under: uncultured bacterium
Lineage: Bacteria
Description: bacterial SSU rRNA
Rfam family: Bacterial small subunit ribosomal RNA
Source: RNAcentral